CACGUAGGGCGCAAGCGUUGUCCGGAAUUAUUGGGCGUAAAGAGCUCGUAGGCGGUCUGUUGCGUCCGCUGUGAAAACUCGGGGCUUAACCCCGAGCCUGCAGUGGAUACGGGCAGGCUAGAGUUCGGUAGGGGAGUCUGGAAUUCCUGGUGUAGCGGUGAAAUGCGCAGAUAUCAGGAGGAACACCGGUGGCGAAGGCGGGACUCUGGGCCGAUACUGACGCUGAGGAGCGAAAGCGUGGGGAGCAAACAGG
Molecule: ribosomal RNA, 253 nt
Filed under: uncultured bacterium
Lineage: Bacteria
Description: partial 16S ribosomal RNA
Rfam family: Bacterial small subunit ribosomal RNA
Source: RNAcentral